Molecule: transfer RNA, 73 nt
Filed under: Stegodyphus mimosarum
Lineage: Eukaryota; Metazoa; Arthropoda; Arachnida; Araneae; Eresidae
Rfam family: tRNA
About the family: Transfer RNA (tRNA) molecules are approximately 80 nucleotides in length.
Source: Rfam by way of RNAcentral
GCCCUCGUGGUGUUGUGGUCAGCACGCGCAGCUCUUGUUCGAUAGGUCUGUGGUUCGAGUCCAGGCGAGGGCA